AAAGCCUCCUAAGGACUCUCCCUGCCUCCAGCCCUGCUCUCUCUCUGUCUGCCACACUACAUCCCGACGCACAGGAGGGAUUGCUUCCCUCCUCGAAACCCAUCAAUCCUUCCCCAUUGGCCACGUGGUAAAAAUGGAACAAAUUGACCUGGCACUGAAAGCCCUGCUCUAACUCGAAAGCUGGCCCCCCCAUUUCCUUUCUUUCCCCAUUUCUCCUCUCUUUCUAUGGUCAGUUCAUUGAUUAAGUUUGCCAUUCUACUUUAUUCGCUUAUCACCUCCUAUGUGCCAGGAGCUGCAUUACACUCUGGGGAACAAUGUGAGAGCCCUGUUGUCAUGGGGCUCACGGCCUCCUGGGAGAUACAGACACGCACACUGGUGAGUGCCGGCCGUGCAGUUGGGUGAGUGCCGUAACAUGGGAAAUGGAGGGUCAGCUGGAGGGAGCCCAUUGGAGGGGAGCCUGAUCUUCCUGGGGUGAGGGUACGAUAUCUAGCACUCAAGAUGGUUAGGAUGCAGACUGACAGAGUCAGGUGUGGACGGUGGGAGUGGAAAGCGUGCCCCAUCAAGAGUGACUCUGGUGUGAAAGAGGGCGCAGGAAGUUGGGGAGACUGACACAACUAUGGCAGUUCACGGCUUGGGAAGCAGCCCAGUUUCUGAAGGUCCUGGUGAGCCUUGCCUGGACCUUUUCCUGGAAGAAAAGGAAUCGGAAGCAGGGUGUGGUCUCCGCCAUCCUUGCUGCGCAGCCUGGCAGGUACUCUCAGACUCUCAGGCCUUCGCCAGGGCUGGUGUUUCUCCCUCACGGCCCCUCCCUCCUUUCCCCACCUCUCCCUGUUCUCCUCCGGCUGUGGUUCUACCCAUCUUUCAUGGGUCCCUUCAAAUGCCAUCUGGAUCUGGGAUCAGUAUUCAUUGUUCCUUCCUCUGGACACUUUGAGUCUAUCACUGGUAUGUUACUGUUUAUUGUGUUCCACCUUAUAUUUUAUGUCAGUUGCACCUGUUUUUCUCCCUCACAGGACUGAAAGUUCCUUAAAGGGCAUAUUAACCUUGGAAUAUUUACUUCUGCAUUUCCCACAGCACUUAGCAUACAAUGCUUUGAGCCAGGCUUUCCUCAAGCUCCAGUUCCUCUGCUUAUUAGCAACGCGAUCUUGGACGAGUUACUUUAUCUGUGAGACCUCGAGUUGUCUCAUCUAUAGGAUGGGGAUCUUGAUUUUUAUUGCACAAGGUAAUUGUGAGGCUCACCUGGUUAGCACUCAAUAAGCAUAAGUUGCCCUCCUCGCUCCUCUGUUCUCUAGCUCAUAAAGAUUGCUGCAACAUCUUGGGAAAGCAUCCCUAAGGGAGGGGUACCUCACUUUUCCUGUGGGUCCAGAGGAAGUGUCUGGUGCCCAGGUGAGAUCCCAUCUGCACUGGUUUGCUGAGUACCUGGGCAGAAAGGCAGGAUAUCAACAUCAUCGGUGGAGCCUUGUUUAUCAGUGGUGGGCGACACCACCCAAUUCUAAUCUGAUCAUUAUUAUUUUUUUUAACACCUUCCAUGGAACACUCAUCCUUAAUGUAAACAAAAAGAAAAUGCUGGAAAGGAAUCGCAAAACAAAUUAAAUCAUGUGCGUUUCCUUGUCUAGGAUUAUGCCCUAAACCAAGGUAGGCUCCCAGGGAGAGGAGAAACAGCGGUCUGCCUAUUAGUCUUUCCCUUUUCUACCUGGUCGCUGCUCAGCCUGUGUAAGGAAUCUGUACUCUGAGACGACAAGGGUCAUUGUCAUGGCCCUGGUCAUCCUUGACAGCACCAUCAGCAGCAGGUUGCUUCUUCCCCUCAUCACUGCCAUUUGGUGGGGGGGCGGCAAGGCCGAGCCCCACCUCCUAUGCCAUUCUCUGGAGCCCUCAUCUGCAUACAUAUUCUCGAAAGUCCCAAUCCUGCGUUUGUACAAACUUGAUUCUCACUGCAACCCUGCGAGGCAGGUUGAACAACUGCCAUUAUCUUAAUCAGUGAGGAAUCCAGUUGCAGAGGAGUCAGGUGACUUGCCCAAGUGAUGGCACGAGCCGGGAGAGGAGAGGGGGCCUGCAGGGCUGGGGCUGAGACUCAGGUGGCUUGAGCCUGAAGAGGGUCAUUCGAAAGUGAGGACAGCCUUGUUUCUGGGCAGCCAGCCUUGGUUCCUCCUGAUAUAAUGGUGUCUGAGGAAUUUUUUUAAAGCACCAGGGAAAGCCAAUUCCUUUUUCUACCUCCUUUUGGUACUUGGAACUCCCACUGUGUGCCUGGGACAUCGAAGUGUUGGCUGCAUGAAUAAAGAUUGAAGGAGCACAUGAAGAAUAAAAAGAAGAUAAGAGUUUGCCCUGGGGUUUAUGAGGCGGGUGUGAUUUCUGGAAUAUUCCACAGAUGCUCUUAACCUUCCUGCCUUGACUCAUAGACGUGUGAAAUCCCAUCAACAUAUUCAUCCUCGUUGAAAGUACUAGAGACAGAUCUUCCCUCUCUCUAUUGCUUUACUCAUGUUUCCUCAUGGGAAGAACAGCUGUGUUGUCAUAUUGGGGAUACUGGGAAAGACUGGUGUUCACUGAGUCACAUCUGUCUGUGGAGCAGGGUUUCACGUCUCUUUCUCCUUCUGGACCUGCUGGAUUCUGACAUAGUUCCUUGCACUUUUGCUCUUCGUGCUUUAAACUACCUUCCCUCUCCCUGCAGCUGUUUUAGGAAAAGUGUUGGCUAAAGAACAGAGAUGAUUCCUUUCUUUUUUUGCCAGCCUCUUAAUUAAUUAAAAAAACAAGUCUACUUCAAUCAGGUAGGGUGUGCAAGGUUUAGCAUUCCAAGAGACACAUAUCAGCAAAUGGAUUUUUCAACAAGACCUUUUCCAUUUUCUACUCAAGAUAAUAUUGAGAUAUAAUCGUGUGUCACCUGCACUGCCUUCUCAGCUGUCUGCUGGAGAGAGUUCCUUCCUUGACCACAGCAUGACUCACCCGGCCCAGAGGAAAAUGCAGAGCCUGGAGAGGUGAAUUUUUCUGAGACUGAAAUCUGGAAGACAGCCUCUCAGAUGGCUCUGAUGGACUGCUCCUAAGAGGUCCCCUCGACUUGGGUUGGAGCCACAUGGCUAUUUCCUGCUCGUGGAUGGAGAGCGAGGGAAAGAGCCGGCAUGGCGCCUUUCUCUGCCGUGGCCGCCUUAGAGGCCCCUGCUCCAGACGCAGCAUAACAAGACGGAGAACUGUUUGACCCAUCCUCGAAUUCUUACACCUGGAAAAUAAAGUGUCAUGAUAAUCCAUGGAGAUUUCCUAACUUGUCUGUUACUGCAGAAGAGUCUGCUCCAUCCUGCCCGAUAUGCCAACCGA
This is a long non-coding RNA of Orcinus orca (killer whale), 3297 nucleotides long. RefSeq lists it as uncharacterized. The record is from RefSeq and is a predicted model, not a curated record. The transcript has 4 exons. NCBI's taxonomy places the organism in Eukaryota, Metazoa, Chordata, Mammalia, Artiodactyla, Delphinidae.